UUCAAUGGGCGGGCUGUAGUGGGAGAGCCGCAAGGCUCGCCGUUUCGUUACGAUCACGGUCUGUCAAUCCCGCUACGUGCCCGCUCACCCUU
Molecule: non-coding RNA, 92 nt
Filed under: Paraburkholderia sp. BL25I1N1
Lineage: Bacteria; Pseudomonadati; Pseudomonadota; Betaproteobacteria; Burkholderiales; Burkholderiaceae
Source: RNAcentral